GCAUAUUACUGUAGUAGCCUGUCACAGUGUCCAUGCCAGGGCCAGCUGUGGCUGGGCCCAUUGCCUGACUGCUGCCUGUGGGCUGCUGCCACUGAAGUGGAUUGCACAGUA
Molecule: small nucleolar RNA, 111 nt
Organism: Castor canadensis (American beaver)
Lineage: Eukaryota; Metazoa; Chordata; Mammalia; Rodentia; Castoridae
Source: Ensembl